This 253-nucleotide ribosomal RNA is filed under the name uncultured bacterium. RNAcentral's name for it is "partial 16S ribosomal RNA". It matches the Rfam family "Bacterial small subunit ribosomal RNA", at positions 524 to 776 of the family's 1533-position model. The record is from RNAcentral.
UACAGAGGUCUCAAGCGUUGUUCGGAUUCAUUGGGCGUAAAGGGUGCGUAGGCGGCGCGGUAAGUCGGGUGUGAAAUCUCGGAGCUUAACUCCGAAACUGCAUUCGAUACUGCCGUGCUUGAGGACUGGAGAGGAGACUGGAAUUUACGGUGUAGCGGUGAAAUGCGUAGAUAUCGCAAGGAAGACCAGUGGCGAAGGCGGGUCUCUGGACAGUUCCUGACGCUGAGGCACGAAGGUCAGGGGAGCAAACGGG